Trachemys scripta elegans is the source of this 284-nucleotide long non-coding RNA. RefSeq lists it as uncharacterized. Lineage: Eukaryota; Metazoa; Chordata; Testudines; Emydidae. The transcript has 4 exons. The record is from RefSeq and is a predicted model, not a curated record.
GGCGGCUGUGGUGGAGAGGAUUGUGGAGCUCAUUGAGGAGCUUCCUCCUAACUCUCCACCCGGCGCCGUCCUGGCCAACUCCCUCAUUGCUGUGGCCAACCUCAGCACCAUGACACCUGCCCUGAAGCCGGAGCUGGAGACCCACCUCCUCCGAGCCACCCUGCAUGCCGUCUUCACCCUGGGCACGCAGACGGACACCAACCAAGUCCAGGAUCUGCAUAGGGUCAUACCAGACCUUCUGGACGCCAUGCUGGGGAACCUGCUGGCAAAGAGCCCAGACACUG